RNAcentral lists this ribosomal RNA (468 nucleotides) under uncultured bacterium. RNAcentral describes it as "partial 16S ribosomal RNA". It matches the Rfam family "Bacterial small subunit ribosomal RNA", at positions 28 to 507 of the family's 1533-position model. The record is from RNAcentral.
GACGAACGCUGGCGGCGUGCUUAACACAUGCAAGUCGAACGGAAAGGCCCUGCUUUUGUGGGGUUCUCGAGUGGCGAACGGGUGAGUAACACGUGAGUAACCUGCCCUUGACUUUGGGAUAACUUCAGGAAACUGGGGCUAAUAUCGGAUAGGAUCUCCUGAUGCAUGGUGGGGGUUGGAAAGUUUCGGCGGUUGGGGAUGGACUGGCGGCUUAUGAGCUGGUUGGUGGGGUAGUGGCGUCCCAAGGGUUUGACGGGUAGCCGGCCUGGGAGGGUGGCCGGGGACAUUAGGACUGAGGUACGGCGCAGACUCCUACGGGAGGCAGCAGUGGGGAAUAUUACACAGUGGCCGGGAGCGUGAUGCGACGGCGCCGCGUGCGUGAUGCCGUCCUUCGGGUUGUAAACCGCUUUCGCCUGAGACGAAGCGUGAGUGACGGUACUGGGUCAAGAAGCACCGGCUAACUACGUG